AUUCCCCUAGUAAUGGCGAAUGAAACGGGAAGAGCCCAUCGUCGAAUCGCAAGUCAUCUCGGCUUUGUGAAAUGUGACGUUUGGGAGGGUCGCCCACGGUUCAGACGAUCAGUCCAAGUCCAACUUGACAGUGGCCACAGCCCAUAGAGGGUGAUAGGCCCGUAAGGCGGUUGUCUGGCUGUGCUGACCUCUCUCUAGAGUCGGAUUGCUUGGGAGUGCAGUCCAAAGUGCGAGGUAAACUCCUCGUAAGGCUAAAUAUAACCCCGAGACCGAUAGCAAACAAGUACAGUGAUGGAAAAUUGAAAAGAACUUUGAAGAGAGAGUUAAGAGUACGUGAAACUGUGUGGUGGUAAACGGAGGCGUUCUCGAAGUGUCCGUGGGGGACUCAAGCUUGGUGGCUGGCAGCCGGUGCUCCUUGAUCAGCAAUGACUGGGCGUGCCGUGCGGGCUUGCCUCCCGGCCGCACUUUCCCCGCCGGUUGACGGCAGGAACUGUUGGGACCGGACCAAAGGCCUGGGAUGAAGUUGCUUGCCCUCACGGGCUUGUAGCUCCCGGUGUCCUGGCUUCGGGCCCGACGGGGUAUGAGUGGACUUGUAUAGCAA
Molecule: ribosomal RNA, 601 nt
Filed under: Boeckella gracilis
Lineage: Eukaryota; Metazoa; Arthropoda; Copepoda; Calanoida; Centropagidae
Description: eukaryotic LSU rRNA
Rfam family: Eukaryotic large subunit ribosomal RNA
Source: RNAcentral